This 243-nucleotide ribosomal RNA is filed under the name uncultured bacterium. RNAcentral's name for it is "partial 16S ribosomal RNA". It matches the Rfam family "Bacterial small subunit ribosomal RNA", at positions 791 to 1035 of the family's 1533-position model. The record is from RNAcentral.
UAGUCCACGCUGUAAACGAUGAGUGUUAGGUGUCUGGGAGAACCUGGGUGCCACAGCAAACGCAAUAAACACUCCGCCUGGGGAGUACGCACGCAAGUGUGAAACUCAAAGGAAUUGACGGGGACCCGCACAAGCAGCGGAGCAUGUGGUUUAAUUCGAGGCAACGCGAAGAACCUUACCAGGGCUUGACAUAACAGACUAUCUUUCUAGAGAUAGAGAGGGCUCCUUCGGGAGGUCUGCUAC